Non-coding RNA from Hordeum vulgare subsp. vulgare (domesticated barley), 163 nucleotides. NCBI's taxonomy places the organism in Eukaryota, Viridiplantae, Streptophyta, Magnoliopsida, Poales, Poaceae. The record is from Rfam.
GCCCGGAAGAGGAAGAAUAGAGGGCCUUAGAGUAGUGGGAAUGGGAGCAUGGCCAAAAGCCUAAGUUUUCACCUCUAGAAUUGGAUGUGAGAAUUUAUAUUGGUGGUUUCCAAUGCCUCCCAUUUCUGUUCUUCUAAAGCACUCUUUCCUCUUCCCCUUUGGG